Acanthosepion pharaonis is the source of this 113-nucleotide non-coding RNA. The record is from the annotation of a GenBank genome assembly. NCBI's taxonomy places the organism in Eukaryota, Metazoa, Mollusca, Cephalopoda, Sepiida, Sepiidae.
UACGGUCACAUUACGUUGAAACACCAGUUUCCGUAGGUUUACCAAAGUUAAGCAACGUAGAGCCUGGUUAGUAUCCAGAUGGGUGAUAGCUUGGGAAUACCAGGUGCUGUCAG